Molecule: small nucleolar RNA, 84 nt
Organism: Contarinia nasturtii (swede midge)
Lineage: Eukaryota; Metazoa; Arthropoda; Insecta; Diptera; Cecidomyiidae
Product: small nucleolar RNA R38
Exons: 1
Source: RefSeq, a predicted model, not a curated record
AUUUUAGAAUGAUGAAUAAUUUAUUGUCAAACAGUUAUCCCUGUCAUAAGAGAUUUUGAUGAAAAUUUGUUUUCUGAAAAAGAA